Molecule: long non-coding RNA, 89 nt
Organism: Ipomoea nil (Japanese morning glory)
Lineage: Eukaryota; Viridiplantae; Streptophyta; Magnoliopsida; Solanales; Convolvulaceae
Exons: 3
Source: RefSeq, a predicted model, not a curated record
AUACUCUUAAAGUACAGAAUUUCAAAAUGCAAGACACAAAAAUUCACAAUACAAGACACAUACACAUACUUUACAUUUAAAAAAAAAAU